This 437-nucleotide ribosomal RNA is filed under the name uncultured bacterium. RNAcentral's name for it is "partial 16S ribosomal RNA". It matches the Rfam family "Bacterial small subunit ribosomal RNA", at positions 341 to 792 of the family's 1533-position model. The record is from RNAcentral.
ACGGAAGGCAGCAGUGGGGAAUAUUGGGCAAUGGAGGGAACUCUGACCCAGCAACGCCGCGUGAAUGAUGAAGGUCUUCGGAUUGUAAAGUUCUGUGAUGGGGGACGAAGAAAGUGACGGUACCCCAAUAGCAAGCUACGGCUAACUACGUGCCAGCAGCCGCGGUAAUACGUAAGUAGCAAGCGUUGUCCGGAAUGACUGGGCGUAAAGGGUGCGUAGGUUGCCUGGCAAGUUGGUAGUGAAAUUCCGAGGCUUAACUUCGGCGCUACUACCAAGACUGUCGGGCUUGAGUACAGGAGAGGUAAGCGGAAUUCCUAGUGUAGCGGUGGAAUGCGUAGAUAUUAGGAGGAACACCAGUGGCGAAGGCGACUUACUGGGCUUUAACUGACGCUGAGGCUCGAAAGCGUGGGGAGCAAACAGGAUUAGAUACCCUGGUA